AGUGAACGCUGGCGGUAGGCCUAACACAUGCAAGUCGAACGGCAGCACAGUAAGAGCUUGCUCUUACGGGUGGCGAGUGGCGGACGAGUGAGGAAUACAUCGGAAUCUACUUUUUCGUGGGGGAUAACGUAGGGAAACUUACGCUUAUACCGCAUACGACCUACGGGUGAAAGCAGGGGAUCUUCGGACCUUGCGCGAUUGAAUGAGCCGAUGUCGGAUUAGCUAGUUGGCGGGGUAAAGGCCCACCAAGGCGACGAUCCGUAGCUGGUCUGAGAGGAUGGUCAGCCACACUGGAACUGAGACACGGUCCAUACUCCUACGGGAGGCAGCAGUGGGGAAUAGUGGACAGUGGGCGCAAGCCUGAUCCAGCCAUACCGCGUGGGUGAAGGAGGCCUUCGGGUUGUAAAGCCCUUUUGUUGGGAAAGAAAAGCAGCAGGUUGAUACCCCGCUGUUCUGACGGUACCCAAAGAAUAAGCACCGGCUAACUUCGUG
This 492-nucleotide ribosomal RNA is filed under the name uncultured bacterium. Its description in RNAcentral is "partial 16S ribosomal RNA". It matches the Rfam family "Bacterial small subunit ribosomal RNA", at positions 29 to 507 of the family's 1533-position model. The record is from RNAcentral.